This 741-nucleotide ribosomal RNA is filed under the name Neotherrya abieticola. RNAcentral describes it as "eukaryotic LSU rRNA". The stretch from base 377 to 530 matches the Rfam family "5.8S ribosomal RNA". The record is from RNAcentral. Lineage: Eukaryota; Fungi; Ascomycota; Leotiomycetes; Rhytismatales; Rhytismataceae.
GGCGUCUGUUCCGUAGGUCAGAGCUUUGCCUACCACAGCAAGUCUGCUAGUUGACGUCCCGUCAGCGACACGCCCACUGUGCGGAGAGAGCCCCUAAAGGCAAACCCGCAGCUGCUGAAUAGCAGUUCAGAGACUCAAUGAGCGUGGGUUCAGCUUCCCCAGCUGGGCUUAAGAUAGAGCCCGACCCCCCUAUCAAUAGGAGGGAACAAUCGGAACCUGCGGAAGGAUCAUUAAAGAAUACCCGGCCUCGUGGCCUUAUUCUCACCCUUUUGUCUACCAAACUUUGUUGCCUUGGCGGCGCCAUAAAGGCCUAUAAGCCGCCAGAGGACCCAAAACCCUAGAAUUCAAGCCGUCUGAGUCACUAUAUAAUAGUUAAAACUUUCAACAACGGAUCUCUUGGUUCUGGCAUCGAUGAAGAACGCAGCGAAAUGCGAUAAGUAAUGUGAAUUGCAGAUAUCAGUGAAUCAUCGAAUCUUUGAACGCACAUUGCACCUCCUGGUAUUCCAAGAGGUAUGCCUGUUCGAGCGUCAUUACAACCCUUGCGCUCAGCGUAGUCUUGGGCUCGCCCUGUAGGGCCUGCCUCAAAUGCAGUGGCGGCACCGUAUAACCCCUAAGCGUAGUACUAUUCGUCGCUCUCGGAGGCUAUAUGGAUGCCUGUCAGGAACCCCCACUUUCUAGGUUGACCUCGGAUCAGGUAGGGAUACCCGCUGAACUUAAGCAUAUCAUAAGCCGCGAGAGGAA